Non-coding RNA from Heterocephalus glaber (naked mole-rat), 2217 nucleotides. The record is from RefSeq and is a predicted model, not a curated record. Lineage: Eukaryota; Metazoa; Chordata; Mammalia; Rodentia; Bathyergidae.
CAUUCCUGCCACCGUGAAUAAGAGGCCUGUGAUUUGCAGCACACGAGGUCUAGAGUUGAACACAGGAACGAUUGUGGAGGGCCCACUCUGCACUGAGCGCCAUGAUGAUGUGGGGCCUUCCUGCCCCGGCCCUGCCUGCUCACAGCCUAAUGGAUGGAGGAAGUCAAGUAAACAGGAGAGUGACUGAAAUGAAUGUCUGAGGAGAGGGGCAAGAACAGGCAGCCGUGAACUGCCAGGCAUAUGUGACCGCAGCUCUUCCACGUGGCUGGCUGGGAGAGGCCACCUUCAUUUGGUAUCUACUCAGCAGAGCAAAUGAUGGGGAUACCAAAGCUCAGGGAGGAUAAGUGAUUUGCCCAGGAUCACACAGAGAGUGAGUAAUGAAGCCAAGCUUUGGAAUCAGGCUGCUGCCUCCGGAACCUGUGUUAUGAAGAUAUCCGCAGCCUGCAAGGUAAGACAGACAGGGCCUCUCUCAUCUCAGAACUGGAAACUGCCAUUAGAUGAGUAAUUACAAGUGUGAUGCUUUACCGGGCAGGCUUACUCGAGUCCAGAGAAAGUGACAUUGAAGCUGACAACUGAGGGAAUGAACCAGACACAGCGAUGGUGGUUGGGCCUCCCACCUGCAGAUUUGGGAGAAAAUCAAGGUGGGGCGAUGUACAGUCAUAGAUUCCCCCCAGCAGCUCCUAGCAUCUUGCAAUAAAGAUUUAAUUUCUUGCCUCUCAGGACUGCUCCUAGCAUAAAUCUCACUUAAUAACCAUUGGUAAAUCCAAGUCUUCACAGGGCCAUGUAAGGUCAUAGAACCACAGUCUCCUCUUAGUUAUCUGUAAGGGACACCCAUUCAUUGCAAUGGAAGGGACAAGUGUUGACUUGAGGGAGAAUUUGGUCGAAGGGCUAUUGCACAGCAAUUAAUGACAAUUCCAGCACCUUCAAAUGCACAUUUAGUACCCAUGCUUAUAGUUUAGGAAGAUUACGUGCCCCUCGUAUUAGAGGCUGUGGAGCCAGAGCCACCUCUCCCUGCAGCUGUGUGAUCUUGGCCUGCAGUCCCAGUCUUUUUCUGCCUCCCGCCAGGGUAUCAUUACUUUUUGACACCCAGUCUUGCAGGUUUAAAAAGAAGGCCUGCAACUCAGGGGAUUUCCUUAAAGAUGGCGUUCCUUUCAGAAUUAAAUUGCAGGAGAACACCACUGCAGAAUAUUGCUCGCAGAAGAUCUCUGCAGAAUGGAAACCUUGUCGGCCACAGAGUUUCAGCUGGGGUCUGUCUGCUGCUGACCCUGGGAUCCGCUCUGGCCUGCAAGUCCAUUUUGUGUUUGCUUAGCAUCUUGUCAGGAAGGAAACGUUGUCUCCUGCUUAGGCUGUGGUUUGGCAUCUGGGACUCAUCUGCAGCCCUCUGCAUGUUACAAAGCAUUUCAGACAGGGUAAGUAUGUGGACGUUUCAUAUCUGGAAACUGUGGGCAGGUAUGUUGCAAAACAAACGCCUUUUAAGCAACUUUCUAAUAACGCUUUUAUCUACCUCAUACUUCAAUUGCUUUCUUUCUCCUCUGCCUUUCUUCUCUGUCUCUCCCCCCAGAUUGUUGUAAUAAGAUCUAUUAAAUAGAGAGUUUGGAAACUGAAGUUGUGGGUGCAGUUCUGUUCUUUGUACCAACAAAGAUAAGUGAGUGAGUUUCUCUUGUGCCUCAUUUCUUCUUUUGCCCCAUGGAUAUUUGUUGAAAACCUACCAUGAGCACUGUAUUUCUUGGGAUUGAGAGGUGAAGAAGACAAACACAAUCCCUGGUCUUGUGGAGCUGACAUUUCAGGAGGAAAAUGAGAAGCCACCAGAGAGACAGGAACCCAACCUUGUGAUGUGAAGUCAGUCACAUUUGCUGUGAGCCUGUGGUUUCUUUGUCUAUAAAAUCAGUACAGAAUUAUACAUGGUAUCCUUCCCAGACAUUAAGGCACAAUUUAAAAUGCAGCAUAUACAAAGAAUCUGGAACAGCCAAAAUGACUUUUAAGAAGAAAUAGUUAGAAGACUCACACUAUCUGAUUUUAGGACAUGCUAUAAAAGCUAUAAUAAUCAAGACAAUGUGGCAGAGGUUUAGGAUAGACAUAUGGAUUAAUGCAACAGAGUUGAGAAUCUAGAAAUAGACUCACAUUUACAUGGUAGGUUGAAUUUUGAUAAACUGCCAACAGAGGGGAAAGGAUGGUCUUUAAUAAAUCAUACUGGAGUAAUUUUGUAUAUACCUUAAG